CCUACGGGAGGCAGCAGUGGGGAAUAUUGGACAAUGGGGGAAACCCUGAUCCAGCGACGCCGCGUGAGUGAAGAAGUAUUUCGGUACGUAAAGCUCUAUCAGCAGGGAAGAAGAAAUGACGGUACCUGAGUAAGAAGCACCGGCUAAAUACGUGCCAGCAGCCGCGGUAAUACGUAUGGUGCAAGCGUUAUCCGGAUUUACUGGGUGUAAAGGGAGCGGAGGCGGCACGGCAAGCCUGAUGUGAAAGCCCGGGGCCCAACCGCGGGACUGCAUUGGGAACUACCGGGCGGGAGUGCCGGAGAGGUAGGCGGAAUUCCUAGUGUAGCGGUGAAAUGCGUAGAUAUUAGGAGGAACACCAGUGGCGAAGGCGGCCUACUGGACGGUGACUGACGCUGAGGCUCGAAAGCGUGGGGAGCAAACAGGAUUAGAUACCCCGGUAGUC
This 442-nucleotide ribosomal RNA is filed under the name uncultured bacterium. RNAcentral's name for it is "partial 16S ribosomal RNA". It matches the Rfam family "Bacterial small subunit ribosomal RNA", at positions 338 to 795 of the family's 1533-position model. The record is from RNAcentral.